GGCCCUGGCUUGGCCCUCAGGGUGCUGCGGAGCAGGCUGAGUAACUUGGAAAUGGCCACUUCCCCUUCCCCACCCCCACCCUAUAGUGGUCGAGUCACUUCCCCUGUGCCCUCUGCAGCCUCUGGCCAGCCCCUUAGAGGUGUCACUUGAGGUCCUUGUGGCCAGGCAGCUCUGGGGAGCAGGGUAGUGGGGAGGUCCCUUCAGCCUUCAGCAUCCAGCCUCCCGUGCACCUGAUCUGCUUGCUUCCUUCUUGCUUUAAAACGUCUCCAGUCGAGGACCCUCCAACUUUCUCCACGGUCACCUGGCCAGACAGCAGAUGGGUAAGCCAUGACAUAGACUGAAAAUAACCAGGCUUUUGGCAAGACCUUGAUGCCUCUGUUCCAUCGGGAUCGACAGAAGGAAAUGAGACUCCAAGAUAAAGAUGAGCUCGACACAGCUUUUACACAGCUCUCACUUAACAGGAAGGCCCUGGGGGCCUGGGCUCCGAAUCCUCUGUAGCUCACACCUGCCUUGCCUGGAGAUGUGCUUGGUCUUAGGUUUUUUUUUUUUUUCUUUUCAGGGCCACAGUUGUGGCAUAUGGACAUUUCCAGGCUAGGAGUCCAAUCAGAUCUGAGCUGUCAGCCUAUAUACCACAGCCACAGCAACUCCAGAUCCGAACGGCCUCUGCAACCUACACCAAAGCUCAGGGCAACGCCAGGUCCUUAACCCACUGAGCGAGGCCAGGGAUCGAACCCAUAUCCUCGUGGAUAUUAGUCAGGUUUGCAACCUGCUAAGUCACAACAGGAACUCCUAAUUUUCUUUUUAAUGUUUUAUGUGUUUGAGCACCAGAAAUUUCAUUUGUUUGGUGAGCACUGGGAGCGAGGCCGCCACCUGCUGGUGAAUUUGUGAAUCACACUCAAGGGCCUCCAGCCUAGGCGGACCUUCAUUCCAUAACGUAGGAAAAACCCAAUUUAGACAAUCCCUUUUUCACUAGGAUCACUUGAUUCUUUAAAUUCUCUUGACUCUCCCUGGAGACAUCCUAGGUUCCUAGCAGAGAAGCCCAAAGUCCUGGGACACGGCUUAGAGAAAAAGGCUUUGAAGGAGGUGGAAGCUUGUUUGGCUCAGGAUCCUCUUCUCUGCACCUGCGAAUGAUCUCUUCCCAGGACCCCCUUCCCUACCUGCCAGGCAGCGCCCACUAUGCACCAGACACUGGGUGUCACAAUCGGGGGUCCCCAGAGAGAGGGGGAUGUGUGCACAGUUAUGGUGCAGAAGGACAGAGCCCGGGACGUGAGGGGCUCAGGAGGGGAGCCUCCUGGCAGGAAUGGGAACAGGGUUUGUGUGAGCGGUUACACGCACUAAGGAGCUGGGCCGUGUGGAAGCGGAAGGAAUUCCUGUUACCUGCUGCUGUGUAACCUGUCACCCAAACGCAGUAGCUUAUAACCACAGUCACUUGUUUUUCUCUCUUGUGGUUCUGGGCUUACAAGCUCAGCAGGACCGGUCUUGCUCAGGGCUCCCAUAUGAUGCAAUCAGGUGACAGCUGGCUGAAGUCAUUAUGGAGUGAUCUCUUGUCCCGUGGCAGAUGCUGGCUGGCAGCUGGGACCGUGUGCAGGAACCCCAGAAUGUAAGCAUUCCAGGAGGCCAGGCUGGGCUACGGGGGCAAGCAUCCCAGGCUGGACCUGGAGGAAGCUGCCUGGCCUUUCCCAAACCAGCCUGGGAAGGGGGGGUUAGAACUGCCCUUGCGCGCCGCUGACAGUCACAAACCCCACCCAGGUUCAGAGAAAGCAGACGCAGACCCUGCCUCUUGCUGUGCGCGUGUCGAGGUUCUAGAGGUUCUAGAAGCUUAAGGGCUAGAAAUAUCAUUGCAGCCCUUUUUGCAAAAGACGGUUUGCCAGAAGCAGGAAGGUCACUGCGGGUGGGUCCCUUCAGCCCUGGUGCCUUCAGAGAUGUGUUUCCUAAGAAAGAAAGCAGUUUACAGAUGGGGCUAAGAGAACACAGGAGGCACUGAGCUGACUUCACUAAGACUUGCAAAAACAUUUCUUUGAAAAGGAGGCCUCAAGAAAGGCGUGGGUGCAGGCUGCAACCCUGAGGGGGCGGCGGGAGGCUGUGGCUGUCAGCCAGCGCACCAGCCAAGGCAAUGGAGCAGUGGCCACGGAGGGAGCCGGUCAAGCGAGGCCCUGCCGGGAGGGACAUCCAGAGGGGGAAGAAUCGGGCUGGUGUCACAGCAGCCAGUGGCCAGAGACUCUGCCCCCUCUGAGUGUAGGAGCGGCAGUGUGCUGGGCCCAGAGCAGGAUGCAGGAAGCAGGAGAAGCUGUGGGGCAGCAGGAGAGACAAGCUGCAUGCACUCAUGUGGUAGCCCCUGGUCUGGAGUCCCUGCACAGAAGUGGAAAAUGUCCUCCUGCACAGCAAGAGCGGGAGAGAAGACAUUGCCCACGCAGAGAAGGCAGGUUGGCAGCAUGACGGGCACGGAGGGAGAUGGAGGACCAUGCCAGAGCGUCAGGGCCCAUGGCCUUGUGGGAGCAGGUCUGGGAUGCCCAGGACCCUCCGUGUCCCCCCACCAACCUUUUGGGAAGAACGGGUGAGCGUGGGUCAGAGGCUGGACAAGCUGGGGACGGCGAGGUGAAGCCUGGCUGUGGGGGGCUGCCCCCUCAGUGGUCUCCCCCUUGGUGGCUGCCCAGCAUCUUGGAAUCUUCCAGAGACACCACAUCCACCCCGAAACUGAAGGGAAAGAGCCAAGGUUGCUCUCUCCACGGAGUCCGGGAUGCAGCCUGCGGAGGACAAGAGCAGCCCUCUCUCCAGGAUGCAGGGUGUUAAACCCCAUCGCCCAUGUUUCCCACUUGUUUUUGAGCACUGGGGGGCCACCCUGAGCCCCCUGCUGUGGCGUGAUUUACUUGAAGGAGAUUACGCCGAUUCUUUGUAGCCUGGGAUGCAUAGACCUGGUACCAAUGAAAGCUUCUUUGCUGCAAAGGGCUAAAGAGAAGCAUGAAGUUGUGACUUGUUUCUCUUGGGGAACUUCUUCGAUCCAGUGCCUAGGAUAGCGUCUGGUCAUAGGAAGUGAGAAAAAAGG
Molecule: long non-coding RNA, 3043 nt
Filed under: Sus scrofa (pig)
Lineage: Eukaryota; Metazoa; Chordata; Mammalia; Artiodactyla; Suidae
Description: lncRNA (ENSSSCG00000060084.1)
Source: RNAcentral